Molecule: long non-coding RNA, 1999 nt
Organism: Gadus morhua (Atlantic cod)
Lineage: Eukaryota; Metazoa; Chordata; Actinopteri; Gadiformes; Gadidae
Exons: 5
Source: RefSeq, a predicted model, not a curated record
AGCUACAUUCUAAACAGUGUGUGCUUGUGCUCUCUUUCGAUGUGGUUUAUUGGGCCUGUCUCGAGAGACCACCAUGGUGCACCUUAGUUUGGCCAAAUAGAGCUUAUGUAGCCCACACGCGUCUCGUGGCUAUAAUUAGAACUGAAACUCGAGACUGCCCCGAAGGGCGGGACUGCCCCGGCUUGGUCCGCCAGGCUUAUAAGAGCGCGGGAUCCUUGGGACUGGUUUGGCACAAGACUUUCCGACCAGGACACAUACAAAAUUUAGCCAGUAUCCAGGGCAUCUCAGUGCGAUCUCAGUGCUUCUUGUGCGAUUUAAGGAAGAUGAUGGUCUAAAAUGGGUUAUCGACCAGAAACCACAAGGACUACUAUACCUGUUGUCUUUCUCUGAGGCCCCACACAUCCAUUCAGAGGAAUAUGCAACUAAAUGAUAAAGCCCGAUGAUAAACUACUGAUCAUGGGGAGUCACAGAAUUUGAUCUUCACAGGGACCCCCAACCUCCCCUCCUCCCAGUGCUCCAUCGCCCGCAGAGGGUUACCUGACGAAGGGUCUGGAGAUGGCGAGGACCGUGCGGAUGAACCAGGACGGGUGGGCGAUGAUCAGACACUUGAGGUUCUUCCGUAACCUGCGUGCGCACGGGAAGAAGACAUGAAGCACUUCCUGAACCAGCUGAUCCCGGGCAUCUUGCGGCGGGGAGUGGCUCCAUUCAGCAGGAGAACUUCCGUCCAGGAAGUUUUGAUGGGAAAGAAAAGGUUUCAGGACCAAUGGACACAUCGGGUUUCCAAGCAUUCUCACAACACACGUCAUCACACUCGCUUGAGUGUGAAGCCCGUUGAAGGCUACCAUUCUGGAUAGUACGUUUUCAGCUGGAAGUGGUAGGACACUCGUGUUUAACAGGUCAUUUGCUGAAAAAAAUUACACAUACGUUCACCGACGUCAACACUCUCUCUACUAAUAUUAGGUUUUUAACUGAUAUUUGACUUUUAUUUAUCCAGUAAGGUCCCAUUGAGAUAUAAUAUCUCGUCUUCCAGGGAGUCCUGGCCGGGGCAUAUAAGUGAUUAGCGGGGUAACUCACCCUAUAAAGAAAAACCAAGCCAACAACACAAUAAAUAUACCUGCAUCCUUAUAUAUCUGUACAGGUCUACAAUGUAGUGCAGAGAUAAGCACGAAUUUAGGACCUCAAAUUUGAAGUUCCAACUGAAUCACAGAUGAGGUGUGAUCGUUGCACCCUUCAGUUACUAACACAUAAGCAAUAGCUGCAACAUUUUACUUUGCUCGAACAACUGCAUGACAAUUUAAUCUGCAAUGACAUCCCUUCCCCCGUACUGACCCUCCCACUCCAGGUCGUUGCCGUUGCUGUUGUCCAGCGAAUCGGUGUCGUUGGGCGUUUCCAUGGCGUCCACGUCCAGGUCGUCCAGGGACGCCUCGCUGGGGUCCAGGGAUAGCUUCAUGUGGGGCGCCACCAGGGUGCGCCGCUUGCCCUGCCCAGCGGAGUCCCCCAGCUUCAGGGAGCUGGGGGGGUCUGAGGGGGUCACCAGAGAAAACGGUCUUAGAAGAGCCAAAUUGAAGUUGACAUAAUUAUCAUUAAACUUUUUUAUGCAGGUUGGUGUUUCUGAGCGGUUAGGCUAGACAGGCUGAUAACCUUGUCCCAUUUCCUUUUCUGGCAUUUCAUUAUCUUCUCUGAUUGUAGGGAAUUAUGAAAAACAUAUGAUGUGUUUCCUCUACGUGAAUGGUAUCCUUGAUUGCUAUGCUAAUCGAUUUCCCUACACAGUCAUUUUAAUGUGCUGUAAAGCGUUGAUAUAAAUAAUGUCAUAUUAUAAGCCUACUAUCGUCCAACUGAACUGACUUGUUCUGUGGUCAGUGAGGCCGUAUGAUGACUCAACGUCGCCAUCUUCUGGCAGUGGUCUGAAAAGAACAACAGUAACAGGAAAGUCAUAAAGAUGUACAUAUACUAGACGGGUAGAUGCUAUUGACUGAAGAUUAAAUGGCUUGAAGCUUGA